UGAUAAGCGAUGAAGAGGACAAGUAACUUAUAGAGUAUUAGUGUACAGAGAGCCUGGAAGGAUGAGAACAGGCCACUAAGCUAUUUGUGAACUCACCUCAAAGCAAUCAACUGAACCGAUAUCGAUUACGAUAUCCCACUAGGAUUGAUCGUUAGACACACGAUACGUGUUGAACAGUAUCCAUGAUGGAUGAUAGGAUUCCGCCCAAAAGCGAAUACUAUUAUUAUCUGUGGAUCAAGAGACUUGAGUUGUAAAACUUAAGUGAACCAGGGUGGUACCGCGACCAAUACCUUCGUCCCUGUU
RNAcentral lists this non-coding RNA (303 nucleotides) under Bacillota bacterium. Its description in RNAcentral is "Firmicutes bacterium T-box sequence". It matches the Rfam family "T-box leader". Rfam says of the family: Uncharged tRNA acts as the effector for transcription antitermination of genes in the T-box leader family. T-boxes are found upstream of many aminoacyl-tRNA synthetase genes and some amino acid biosynthetic genes usually in Gram-positive bacteria. The record is from RNAcentral. Lineage: Bacteria; Bacillati; Bacillota.